UUGUUGCGGUUAAAACGUUCGUAGUUGAAUUUGUGUCCCACACGGGUAAUUGGCCCACUUACGGGUUCUUAUUACUUGCCGGCUUGCUGGCUUUAGUGUGCGGACGUUUUACCGGUGAGGGAAACGGUGUAGUUUCGGCUGCAAUACGCCCCUUAUUUAUUUCAUAAACCCGUCUUGGUGCUUUUAAUCGAGUGCCAAUGUGGGCCGGUACUAUUACUUUGAACAAAUUAGAGUGCUUUAAGCAGGCUAAAUUUAAUGAAAGUUAAAACGCCUGAAUAUAUUUUGCAUGGAAUAAUGGAAUAGGACCUCUGUUCUACUUUCAUUGGUUUUUAGACCAGGAGGUAAUGAUUAAUAGAAGCAGUUGGGGGCAUUAGUAUUACGAGGCGAGAGGUGAAAUUCGUAGACCCUCGUAAGACUAACUUAAGCGAAAGCAUUUGCCAAGGAUGUUUUCAUUAAUCAAGAACGAAAGUUAGAGGAUCGAAGGCGAUCAGAUACCGCCCUAGUUCUAACCAUAAACGAUGCCAGCUAGCAAUUGUAUGUAGCUACUAAUUUUGGUUCAUACAGUCGCUUUCCGGGAAACCAAAGCUUUUGGGCUCCGGGGGAAGUAUGGUUGCAAAGCUGAAACUUAAA
RNAcentral lists this ribosomal RNA (630 nucleotides) under uncultured eukaryote. Its description in RNAcentral is "SSU rRNA". It matches the Rfam family "Eukaryotic small subunit ribosomal RNA", at positions 610 to 1148 of the family's 1831-position model. The record is from RNAcentral.